GACGAACGCUGGCGGCGUGCCUAAUACAUGCAAGUCGAACGCAGUGGGGACGGGUGAGUAACACGUGGGUAACCUCCCAUCAGAGGGGAUAACACUUGGAAACAGGUGCUAAACCGAUACGGAUGGCUGGACCCGCGGUGCAUUAGCUAGUUGGUGAGGUAACGGCUAACCAAGGCCACGAUGCAUAGCCGGCCUGAGAGGAUGAUCGGCCACACUGGGACGGAGACACGGCCCAGACUCCUACGGGAGGCAGCAGUAGGGAAUAUUCGGCAAUGGGCGAAAGUCUGACGGAGCAACGCCGCGUGAGUGAAGAAGGUUUUCGGAUCGUAAAGCUCUGUUGGUAGAGAAGCGGUACCUAAACAGGAAGCCACGGCUAACUACGUGCCAGCAGCCGCGGUAAUAC
RNAcentral lists this ribosomal RNA (403 nucleotides) under uncultured bacterium. RNAcentral's name for it is "partial 16S ribosomal RNA". It matches the Rfam family "Bacterial small subunit ribosomal RNA", at positions 28 to 526 of the family's 1533-position model. The record is from RNAcentral.